ACAGAGUUCAUAGUAGUGGAAUCACACAUCUAGCAGGAAAUAAGCCUAGCUAAUACACUCAGAGUGGCAGCACACUCACAUACAUGGAAGUUAAAUAAAAACUUCACAAAGCAGCACACAUACAGAGGAGCGGAAGUUAAAUACAAAACUUCAACACACAUUAGCUGCAGGGGAGGAAUCUUUGAAUCUGUCACGAAUGUCUGUUUUCACAGACCAAUCUGUUGUCUGGGGUAUCAUCACCUGUUACUCCCCAUUUUUGUCACAAAUGUUGCCAAAGCC
RNAcentral lists this long non-coding RNA (279 nucleotides) under Lathyrus oleraceus (garden pea). Its description in RNAcentral is "Pisum sativum (pea) long non-coding RNA (PSAT_LNC009455)". The record is from RNAcentral. Lineage: Eukaryota; Viridiplantae; Streptophyta; Magnoliopsida; Fabales; Fabaceae.